UGCUUCGCUGACGAGUGGCGGACGGGUGAGUAAUGUCUGGGAAACUGCCUGAUGGAGGGGGAUAACUACUGGAAACGGUAGCUAAUACCGCAUAACGUCGCAAGACCAAAGAGGGGGACCUUCGGGCCUCUUGCCAUCGGAUGUGCCCAGAUGGGAUUAGCUAGUUGGUGGGGUAACGGCUCACCUAGGCGACGAUCCCUAGCUGGUCUGAGAGGAUGACCAGCCACACUGGAACUGAGACACGGUCCAGACUCCUACGGGAGGCAGCAGUGGGGAAUAUUGCACAAUGGGCGCAAGCCUGAUGCAGCCAUGCCGCGUGUAUGAAGAAGGCCUUCGGGUUGUAAAGUACUUUCAGCGGGGAGGAAGGGAGUAAAGUUAAUACCUUUGCUCAUUGACGUUACCCGCAGAAGAAGCACCGGCUAACUCCGUGCCAGCAGCCGCGGUAAUACGGAGGGUGCAAGCGUUAAUCGGAAUUACUGGGCGUAAAGCGCACGCAGGCGGUUUGUUAAGUCAGAUGUGAAAUCCCCGGGCUCAACCUGGGAACUGCAUCUGAUACUGGCAAGCUUGAGUCUCGUAGAGGGGGGUAGAAUUCCAGGUGUAUCGGUGAAAUGCGUAGAGAUCUGGAGGAAUACCGGUGGGCAAAGGCGGCCCCCUGGACAAAGACU
This 665-nucleotide ribosomal RNA is filed under the name Escherichia coli. RNAcentral's name for it is "bacterial SSU rRNA". It matches the Rfam family "Bacterial small subunit ribosomal RNA", at positions 81 to 741 of the family's 1533-position model. Lineage: Bacteria; Pseudomonadati; Pseudomonadota; Gammaproteobacteria; Enterobacterales; Enterobacteriaceae. The record is from RNAcentral.